UCGAUGUAUUAGUGUUGCCUCUGUGGAUUUAACUCUGCUGUGAGUAGCACUCGUGGCCUUGGAGCUACUUGAUAUUGUGUAGCAUAUUCCAUGCCACUGCAUCGUAGAUUCAAGAUGUCUCCAGCCCUCAGGCUGAUGAAGGCUGAAGCAGUGUAUAUUCCAUAAGCUUCCCAUAGUCAUUGUUGGCUAUGAUUGGGAAGAUAGACCAUGCAAAGUACAGAU
Molecule: small nucleolar RNA, 222 nt
Filed under: Stegodyphus dumicola
Lineage: Eukaryota; Metazoa; Arthropoda; Arachnida; Araneae; Eresidae
Description: small nucleolar RNA SNORA73 family
Rfam family: Small nucleolar RNA SNORA73 family
About the family: U17 (SNORA73A and SNORA73B) also known as E1 belongs to the H/ACA class of small nucleolar RNAs (snoRNAs). Vertebrate U17 is intron-encoded and ranges in length from 200-230 nucleotides, longer than most snoRNAs. It is one of the most abundant snoRNAs in human cells and is essential for the cleavage of pre-rRNA within the 5' external transcribed spacer (ETS).
Source: RNAcentral